AGUGGAUGGGGAGCAACCUAGUUGUGCGUGUGUAAAGGUAGUGCCAAGAAAAGCGGUGAUCAUGAUGAAAAUCAAUUCCCGGUACCCGAAACCGACACAGGUGGGCAAGUAGAGAAUACUAAGGGGCGCGAGGUAACUCUCUCCAAGGAACUCGGCAAAAUGACCCCGUAACUUAGGGAGAAGGGGUGCCACCGAGAGGUGGUCGCAGUGAAGAGGCCCAGGCGACUGUUUAGCAAAAACAUAGGUCUCUGCAAACUCGAAAGAGGAGGUAUAGGGGCUGACGCCUGCCCAGUGCCGGAAGGUUAAAGAAGUUGGUCAUCUUCGGAGAAGCUCUUGAUCGAAGCCCCGGUAAACGGCGGCCGCAACUAUAACGGUCCUAAGGUAGCGAAAUUCCUUGUCGGGUAAGUUCCGACCCGCACGAAAGGCGUAACGAUCUGGGCGCUGUCUCGGAGAGAGGCUCGGCGAAAUAGGAUUGUCUGUGAAGAUACGGACUACCUGCAUUUGGACAGAAAGACCCUAUGAAGCUUUACUAUAGCUUGGAAUUGUGUUCGGGCUUCCUGUGCGCAGGAUAGGUGGGAGGCGUAGAAGGUAUUCUUGUGGGGAUACUGGAGCCAACGGUGAGAUACCACUCUCAGGAGGCUAGAAUUCUAACUUAAUUAAGGACAGUUUCAGGUGGGUAGUUUGACUGGGGCGGUCGCCUCCAAAAAGGUAACGGAGGCGUACAAAGGUUCCCUCAGACUGGUUGGAAAUCAGUCGCAGAGUGCAAAGGCAGAAGGGAGCUUGACUGCGAGAAGUACAGUUCGAGCAGGGUGGAAACACGGUCUUAGUGAUCCGACGGUGCUGUGUGAAGGGCCGUCGCUCAACGGAUAAAAGUUACUCUAGGAUAACAGGCCGAUCUCCCCCAAGAGUUCACAUCGACGGGGAGGUUUGGCACCUCGAUGUCGGCUCAUCGCAACCUGGGGCGGAAGUACGUCCCAAGGGUUGGGCUGUUCGCCCAUUAAAGCGGUACGUGAGCUGGGUUCAGAACGUCGUGAGACAGUUCGGUCCAUAUCCGAUGUAGGCGUGAGAAUAUUGAGAGGAGCCUUCCUUAGUACGAGAGGACCGGGAAGGACGCACCGCUGGUGUACCUGUUAUGAUGCCAAUUGUAAACGCAGGGUAGCCAAGAGCGGAGAGGAUAACCGCUGAAAGCAUCUAAGUGGGAAGCCCACCUCAAGAUGAGUAUUCUGGUGUAAGGUCACGGGAAGACGACCCGUAAAUAGGCACGAGGUGGAAGUGCAGAGAUGUAUGAAGCCGAAGUGUACUAAUAGACCGUCGGCUUGAC
Molecule: ribosomal RNA, 1321 nt
Filed under: metagenome
Description: bacterial LSU rRNA
Rfam family: Bacterial large subunit ribosomal RNA
Source: RNAcentral